AUUCCCGUGGCGAAGAGGCUAUCGCGUUGUCCUUAUGUUCGUCAGAUUAGCGACCAUGAUCUAACUUUUGUCAAGACAAGGGUCGCGGGUUCAAAUCCCGCCGGGAAUA
Meira miltonrushii is the source of this 109-nucleotide non-coding RNA. NCBI's taxonomy places the organism in Eukaryota, Fungi, Basidiomycota, Exobasidiomycetes, Exobasidiales, Brachybasidiaceae. The record is from the annotation of a RefSeq genome assembly.